This is a long non-coding RNA of Oncorhynchus tshawytscha (Chinook salmon), 1403 nucleotides long. The record is from Ensembl. Lineage: Eukaryota; Metazoa; Chordata; Actinopteri; Salmoniformes; Salmonidae.
CUUCACAGUUCCCAACCUUUCCCUGACAGAACAAAGUCAGCAGACAUGUCUCCCAGAGGUCCUUCUGCUCUCCUGGUUGCAUCCCAAAUGGAAUCCUAUGCCCUACACACAGUAGUGCACUACAGGGCCCUGGUCAAAUGUAGGGGACAAUAUAGGGAAUAGGGUGCUAUUUGGGACUCAACCUUUGUCCAAGCGGCAGUGCGGUGGGUGGGACACACCCAUCCCAGUGUUAAUGGUCAACCCAAUCAAGUUGGCCGGCGGGAGGAAAAGGCGCAGCCAGUCUGGAGGUCUCGGUAUAGAACAAGGGAACAGCAGAGGGGACAGACAGAGACCCUUUCACACCAAGCUGCCUGACAGAAACAACAAUAAAGUUCACAGAGUGAUUCAUACCAGGACUCCGCCAGGGCGCCACUGCGUUCCGCACUGCCCCGUCAGGAAGAGGUAAUGCCCUCCAUCCUCUCUACCCUCUGUCUGAGUAUGACGUGCUCUUCCACCUGGCCGGCUUCCCCUCUGGAACCAUCCGGAAGAAAGAUGCCUUCCUGCUGCCCUUUUCUAGCGUUCCUCCUUCUGGACUGAUGGAUGCUGGGGCUUUGAGGGGAUAAUGGACAUACUCAUUUACUAUGGAACUAUCUGACUGUGUAUAUGUGUGGGUGUCUGCGUGCGUCCGUCUGUGCUUGUGCGUGUGUGUCUGGUGUGCGUGUGUGUCCAGUGAGUGUGUGUGUCCGGUGUGUGUGUGUCCGGUGUGUGUGUGUGUGUGGUGUGUGUCCCCUGUGUGUGUGUCUGGUGUGUGUGUGUGUGUGUGUCCGGUGUGUGUGUGUCCGGUGUGUGUGUGUCCAGUGUGUGUGUGUGUGUGUGUGUGUCCGGUGUGUGUGUGUCCGGUGUGUGUGUGCCCGGUGUGUGUGUGUCUCCGGUGUGUGUGUGUCCGGUGUGUGUGUGCCCGGUGUGUGUGUCCUGUGUGUGUGUGUCCGGUGUGUGUGUGUGUGUGUCCGUGUGUGUGUGCCCGGUGUGUGUGAGCCCGGUGUGUGUGUGUGUCCUGUGUGUGUGUGCCCGGUGUGUGUCCUGUGUGUGUGUGUCCGGUGUGUGUGUGUCCCGAGCCAAUUCCAACAUUUGGAAGCAUUCUUCCAGUCUCCGUCACCUUAAUCUGGAGCUGGAAGCUCAAUCUGCUAUGACAGCGUCUCUGCAUCACAAUACAUUCCAGCAGGUCUCCCCAGUCACAUGGAUCAUUUCAUCCUGACACAGAAGGACAAAUAAAUGCUUUUUAAAUUUUUUUUAUUUUUUACAGGCUCUUUAUUUGCACGUUAGAAAUAAAUCCUUUUUCAUUUGCGCCUUAGAAGUAUAAACACUUCUUUAAAGAUGCACAUGUUAAAACAUGUUACUGUCUUAACCUUGCCAGACAAUUAUCA